ACAGUUUUUCAUAUUUCUUUGCUGUCGUUUGUUUGUUACAUGGACGACGUUUUAUGCUUGGAAGUUCAUGACUUUCUCGGAUGAAAGAGAUCAAUUACAGAAGCCCAUCUUAUUGAACUCGGUUCAGGGAUUUGAUAUUGUGCCGCCCGAUAAAGCAAUUACAAAUCAUACAGAGAUGUCUGGAUUCGCCAAUAGCUUCUUCUGAAAUCUCAUUAGUGCAAACUUCUGCACUCACCAAUCGAAUCUAUUUGCCUCAUUUAUCAUUCAGAAUGUUACUCUUUUUUCAUGGAAC
This 292-nucleotide small RNA is filed under the name Vigna angularis var. angularis. Its description in RNAcentral is "Non-protein coding transcript". The record is from RNAcentral. Lineage: Eukaryota; Viridiplantae; Streptophyta; Magnoliopsida; Fabales; Fabaceae.